Molecule: ribosomal RNA, 280 nt
Filed under: Escherichia coli O36:H5
Lineage: Bacteria; Pseudomonadati; Pseudomonadota; Gammaproteobacteria; Enterobacterales; Enterobacteriaceae
Description: partial 23S ribosomal RNA
Rfam family: Bacterial large subunit ribosomal RNA
Source: RNAcentral
UGAGGGGGGCUGCUCCUAGUACGAGAGGACCGGAGUGGACGCAUCACUGGUGUUCGGGUUGUCAUGCCAAUGGCACUGCCCGGUAGCUAAAUGCGGAAGAGAUAAGUGCUGAAAGCAUCUAAGCACGAAACUUGCCCCGAGAUGAGUUCUCCCUGACUCCUUGAGAGUCCUGAAGGAGCGUUGAAGACGACGACGUUGAUAGGCCGGGUGUGUAAGCGCAGCGAUGCGUUGAGCUAACCGGUACUAAUGAACCGUGAGGCUUAACCUUACAACGCCGAAG